UACGUAGGGUGCGAGCGUUGUCCGGAAUUAUUGGGCGUAAAGAGCUCGUAGGCGGCCUGUUGCGUCUGCUGUGAAAGCCCGGGGCUUAACCCCGGGUCUGCAGUGGAUACGGGCAGGCUAGAGUUCGGCAGGGGAGACUGGAAUUCCUGGUGUAGCGGUGAAAUGCGCAGAUAUCAGGAGGAACACCCGUGGCGAAAGCGGCUCUCUGGGACGGUACUGACGCUGAGACGCGAAAGCGUGGGGAGCAAACAGG
Molecule: ribosomal RNA, 253 nt
Filed under: uncultured bacterium
Lineage: Bacteria
Description: partial 16S ribosomal RNA
Rfam family: Bacterial small subunit ribosomal RNA
Source: RNAcentral